GAUGAACGCUGGCGGCGUGCCUAAUACAUGCAAGUCGAGCGGACGGACGAGAAGCUUGCUUCUCUGCUGUUAGCGGCGGACGGGUGAGUAACACGUGGAUAACCUACCUAUAAGACUGGGAUAACUUCGGGAAACCGGAGCUAAUACCGGAUAAUAUUUUGAACCGCAUGGUUCAAAAGUGAAAGACGGUCUUGCUGUCACUUAUAGAUGGAUCCGCGCUGCAUUAGCUAGUUGGUAAGGUAACGGCUUACCAAGGCAACGAUGCAUAGCCGACCUGAGAGGGUGAUCGGCCACACUGGAACUGAGACACGGUCCAGACUCCUACGGGAGGCAGCAGUAGGGAAUCUUCCGCAAUGGGCGAAAGCCUGACGGAGCAACGCCGCGUGAGUGAUGAAGGUCUUCGGAUCGUAAAACUCUGUUAUUAGGGAAGAACAUAUGUGUAAGUAACUGUGCACAUCUUGACGGUACCUAAUCAGAAAGCCACGGCUAACUACGUG
Molecule: ribosomal RNA, 497 nt
Filed under: uncultured bacterium
Lineage: Bacteria
Description: partial 16S ribosomal RNA
Rfam family: Bacterial small subunit ribosomal RNA
Source: RNAcentral